Molecule: long non-coding RNA, 518 nt
Filed under: Mytilus galloprovincialis (Mediterranean mussel)
Lineage: Eukaryota; Metazoa; Mollusca; Bivalvia; Mytilida; Mytilidae
Source: RNAcentral
GUCUUCCCAAUUCGUACUUGAAUUGGAUGUUCAACUGUUUUGGUUCUUCGUCGAUCGGGGAAUAGAUGCAUGCAAAUGUAAAUGUCCAUAAUUUAAGGGUGUUUUAAAACUGCCCAACAGUUAGAAAAAUUAAGGUUUGAUGACUUUCCACUUCCAACAUUAACAUAAUAUAUGCAAUGUGAUUUCAGGAUUGAGGGAAAUAAUAAUGUUAAGUAUAGGCAUCUAAAGAACCCAACAUUGUUAACAGUAUUAUAAAUAACAUAGAAUAGAACUAAUGUGUAUUGCUCUUCUCUGAUGAGCUAUGGGAUAACAUUAACAUUAACUAUUUUUCCGGUUCGAAGAGUGCUUCGAUUUGCAUGUUUGAGAACUAUGGUAACAAUGCAUUGUGCUCUUCAAUUCGCUGUUGUGAGGCAUACCCGGGCCUCAAUUAUACAGUUUCGAAGUACUAACUUGUAGGUAACCAAACUCAACAUUUUGUCACGCCCGAGCUUGACAGUCUUCAGUCUUGCGAGUUAAUA